AUAUGAUAUUCCUUAUUUUAUUUGGUGAUAUAUGAUGGACAUUUUUAGUUAUAAAUGUGGGGACAAAAGUAACAUUGUAUUCUUACUAAGGGAGAGACUCUUUUAGGAGUUGCAAGAGUCCAUUGAUGUCACAUACAGUGACAUAAAUUGUGAGUCCAUUGAUGUCACAUACAGUAACAUAAAUUGUGGGUCCCGGUUUGAAAUGGGUCACCAAAGUAGUGUUGGUUUUCAGUUUGAAAGACAAUAUUGAGGGAAGGCAAAAGGGUGGCUGGUGCUUUAUCCCUGGUGAUGAGUUUGAAGGUAUUUCAAUGAUAACUAAAAAAGACAUGGCGGAGGUUUGAAGGAAAUCGUACAAAUUAUUGGUACCCCGUUUUGUAUGGGAAGGGUAUGCACUAUGCAGUGAGAUAUUCAACAAGUUGGCCCACCUGAGUUGUUUGGCAGCAUGCAUACUAUUGAAUUGUUUGGCUUGAGAGGCUAAGGCUGCAUGUAUCUAUUCUCUUCAAACCUUACUAAGAGUCCCUUUGCGAGAGGUUUUUGGAAGGGCAUGAAAAAAUAAGACUUUAGAGUCAUCUUUUUUUUUGUAAGAAAUGGAAAUUUUAUAACGAAAAAAAGAGACUCGCAGGGAGCCCGAAAAACAGAUUACAACAAAGCCAAAAGGCAAGGCAAAGGAGCAGCGCUCCAAUCCUCAAAAGAAGGAAGAAUAUCUCUGUUAUGGUUUUUAGAUAACCA
RNAcentral lists this long non-coding RNA (729 nucleotides) under Lupinus mutabilis. RNAcentral's name for it is "partial ncRNA". Lineage: Eukaryota; Viridiplantae; Streptophyta; Magnoliopsida; Fabales; Fabaceae. The record is from RNAcentral.